AGUGAACGCUGGCGGUAGGCCUAACACAUGCAAGUCGAACGGCAGCACAGUAAGAGCUUGCUCUUACGGGUGGCGAGUGGCGGACGGGUGAGGAAUACAUCGGCAUCUACUUUUUCGUGGGGGAUAACGUAGGGAAACUUACGCUAAUACCUCAUACGACCUACGGGUUAAAGCAGGGGAUCUUCGUACCUUUCGCGAUUGAAUGAGCCGAUGUCGGAUUAGCUAGUUGGAGGGGUAAAGGCCCACCAAGGCGACGAUCCGUAGCUGGUCUGAGAGGAUGAUCAGCCACACUGGAACUGAGACACGGUCCAGACUCCUAAGGGAGGCAGCAGUGGGGAAUAUUGGACAAUGGGCGCAAGCCUGAUCCAGCCAUACCGCGUGGGUGAAGAAGGCCUUCGGGUUGUAAAGCCCUUUUGUUGGGAAAGAAAAGCAGCAGGUUAAUACCCCGCUGUUCUGACGGUACCCAAAGAAUAAGCACCGGCUAACUUCGUG
Molecule: ribosomal RNA, 492 nt
Filed under: uncultured bacterium
Lineage: Bacteria
Description: partial 16S ribosomal RNA
Rfam family: Bacterial small subunit ribosomal RNA
Source: RNAcentral